CCUUCAGUGCUUGGCUUGAGCGGAGAUGCAGAGAGCAAGGAGAGAAUCAACUCAAUCAAACAUAUGAGCUACAAGAAUAUCGAUUGCACUAGCAGCCGACGCGGAGGACGCUCACCUACGGCCACAGCCCACAAUACGAGCAGUGAGCUAUAGGUAGCUGGUUGGCUUCAUGCACAGAUCGAAUUCUGUUACCCAAAGAUUGUGAAAAGAUAAGGAGAGGAGGUUAGCUUUGGAGGGAAUCACUGGAAAAUGGCGGGACCACGUCACGACGUUCUGCACAUGGGCCUUUAUUAGUUAUGGGCUUAAGUACUAAUGAGAAGAUUACAACAUGUAGGCUAAAGAAGCAGCCCAUGGUGGCUGUUCGAACAUGUUCCGUAACAAAAUUAUUCGUACGCAUAGAGUUUUCCAUUGGAAAACACCUAGAGGUCUUCCAGCUUGCUCCACAAAGUGAUGGGCUAGCCGGUCUGGGUUCGAAGCUCACUUGUUCUAUUUAUUUGAUAUUAGGUCAUUCACUAA
Oryza sativa Japonica Group (Japanese rice) is the source of this 516-nucleotide non-coding RNA. Lineage: Eukaryota; Viridiplantae; Streptophyta; Magnoliopsida; Poales; Poaceae. The record is from RefSeq and is a predicted model, not a curated record.